This 365-nucleotide RNase P RNA is filed under the name Nitrospirota bacterium. RNAcentral describes it as "Nitrospirae bacterium RNase P RNA component class A". It matches the Rfam family "Bacterial RNase P class A". Rfam says of the family: Ribonuclease P (RNase P) is a ubiquitous endoribonuclease, found in archaea, bacteria and eukarya as well as chloroplasts and mitochondria. Its best characterised activity is the generation of mature 5'-ends of tRNAs by cleaving the 5'-leader elements of precursor-tRNAs. The record is from RNAcentral. Lineage: Bacteria; Pseudomonadati; Nitrospirota.
GAAGCCGGCAAGGUGGUCGCUUGCCCCUCGGGGCAAGAGGAAAGUCCGGACUGCACAGGGCAGGAUGGCUGCUAACGGCAGCCGGGGGUGACCCCAGGGAAAGUGCCACAGAGAGGAGACCGGCCCCCCUUCGGGGGGACCAAGGGUGAAAGGGUGCGGUAAGAGCGCACCAGUGCCGGGGGUGACCCCGGUAGCUCGGUAAACCCCAUCCGCAGCAAGACCCAAUAGGACGGCGUUCGAGGGUGGCCCGCCCGAUGCCGUCGGGUUGGUCGCUCGAGCCCGCGGGCGACCGCGGGCCUAGAUGAAUGACCACCCCCCGCCCCCCGGGGCGGGGACAGAAUCCGGCUUACCAGCCGACUUCGGCA